AGCGAACGCUGGCGGCAGGCUUAACACAUGCAAGUCGAGCGGGCAUCCUUGUGGUGUCCGCGGCAGACGGGUGAGUAACGCGUGGGAACGUGCCCUUCGGUUCGGAAUAACUCGGGGAAACUUGAGCUAAUACCGGAUACGUGCGAGAGCAGAAAGGUUUAUCUGCCGAAGGAUCGGCCCGCGUCUGAUUAGCUAGUUGGUGAGGUUAUGGCUCACCAAGGCGACGAUCAGUAGCUGGUCUGAGAGGAUGAUCAGCCACACUGGGACUGAGACACGGCCCAGACUCCUACGGGAGGCAGCAGUGGGGAAUAUUGGACAAUGGGGGCAACCCUGAUCCAGCCAUGCCGCGUGAGUGAUGACGGCCUUAGGGUUGUAAAGCUCUUUUCUUCGGGACGAUAAUGACGGUACCGGAGGAAUAAGCCCCGGCUAACUUCGUG
Molecule: ribosomal RNA, 437 nt
Filed under: uncultured bacterium
Lineage: Bacteria
Description: partial 16S ribosomal RNA
Rfam family: Bacterial small subunit ribosomal RNA
Source: RNAcentral